GACGAACGCUGGCGGCGUGCUUAACACAUGCAAGUCGAACGGAAAGGCCCUGCUUUUGUGGGGUGCUCGAGUGGCGAACGGGUGAGUAACACGUGAGUAACCUGCCCUUGACUUUGGGAUAACUUCAGGAAACUGGGGCUAAUACCGGAUAGGAGCUCCUGCUGCAUGGUGGGGGUUGGAAAGUUUCGGCGGUUGGGGAUGGACUCGCGGCUUAUCAGCUUGUUGGUGGGGUAGUGGCUUACCAAGGCUUUGACGGGUAGCCGGCCUGAGAGGGUGACCGGCCACAUUGGGACUGAGAUACGGCCCAGACUCCUACGGGAGGCAACAGUGGGGAAUAUUGCGCAAUGGGCGGAAGCCUGAUGCAGCAACGCCGCGUGCGGGAUGACGGCCUUCGGGUUGUAAACCGCUUUCGCCUGUGACGAAGCGUGAGUGACGGUAAUGGGUAAAGAAGCACCGGCUAACUACGUG
This 468-nucleotide ribosomal RNA is filed under the name uncultured bacterium. RNAcentral's name for it is "partial 16S ribosomal RNA". It matches the Rfam family "Bacterial small subunit ribosomal RNA", at positions 28 to 507 of the family's 1533-position model. The record is from RNAcentral.